AGAGUUUGAUCCUGGCUCAGAACGAACGCUGGCGGCAUGCCUAACACAUGCAAGUCGAACGCGUGUAGCAAUACACGAGUGGCGAACGGGUGAGUAACGCGUGGGAACCUGCCUAGUGGUAGGGAAUAACUGCGGGAAACUGCAGCUAAUACCCUAUGAGCCCUCCGGGGGAAAGAUUCAUCGCCAUUAGAGGGGCCCGCGUCGGAUUAGCUAGUUGGUGGGGUAACGGCCCACCAAGGCGACGAUCCGUAGCUGGUCUGAGAGGAUGAUCAGCCACACUGGGACUGAGAUACGGCCCAGACUCCUACGGGAGGCAGCAGUGGGGAAUAUUGCACAAUGGGCGCAAGCCUGAUGCAGCCAUGCCGCGUGUAUGAAGAAGGCCUUCGGGUUGUAAAGUACUUUCAGCGGGGAUGAAGGGAGUAAAGUUAAUACCUUUGCUCAUUGACGUUACCCGCAGAAGAAGCACCGGCUAACUCCGUGCCAGCAGCCGCGGUAAU
This 497-nucleotide ribosomal RNA is filed under the name uncultured Gammaproteobacteria bacterium. RNAcentral's name for it is "bacterial SSU rRNA". It matches the Rfam family "Bacterial small subunit ribosomal RNA", at positions 8 to 524 of the family's 1533-position model. The record is from RNAcentral. Lineage: Bacteria; Pseudomonadati; Pseudomonadota; Gammaproteobacteria.